CCUACGGGCGACAGCAGUGGGGAAUAUUGGACAAUGGGGGAAACCCUGAUCCAGCGACGCCGCGUGAGUGAAGAAGUAUUUCGGUACGUAAAGCUCUAUCAGCAGGAAAGAAAAUGACGGUACCUGACUAAGAAGCCCCGGCUAACUACGUGCCAGCAGCCGCGGUAAUACGUAGGGGGCAAGCGUUAUCCGGAUUUACUGGGUGUAAAGGGAGCGUAGACGGCAGCGCAAGUCUGGAGUGAAAUGCCGGGGGCCAACCCCGGAACUGCUCUGGAAACUGUGAAGCUGGAGUGCAGGAGAGGUAAGCGGAAUUCCUGGUGUAGCGGUGAAAUGCGUAGAUAUCAGGAGGAACACCGGUGGCGAAGGCGGCUUACUGGACUGUAACUGACGUUGAGGCUCGAAGGCGUGGGGAGCAAACAGGAUUAGAUACCCUGGUAGUC
This 440-nucleotide ribosomal RNA is filed under the name uncultured bacterium. RNAcentral describes it as "partial 16S ribosomal RNA". It matches the Rfam family "Bacterial small subunit ribosomal RNA", at positions 338 to 795 of the family's 1533-position model. The record is from RNAcentral.